RNAcentral lists this long non-coding RNA (4526 nucleotides) under Homo sapiens (human). RNAcentral's name for it is "HSALNT0143194". Lineage: Eukaryota; Metazoa; Chordata; Mammalia; Primates; Hominidae. The record is from RNAcentral.
UACACUUUGUACUUUAAUAUGCAAACUGCCUGCCUGCUCCAGAGAAGCAGCCUUUGUUCCUCAGUUCAUCGCAACACUCAGCCUGUCAGUCAGGUUGUGGGAUCCCUCCUAUCCAGGAACUGUAUGCUGUUGUCCCGGUUCUGACACUUUCCCUCUGAGUCCUUGGACACCUUACCUAACCUCUUGGAAGCUCCUGUCUGUGAAGGGUGUGCACAGAGAGCUUCGGUAGCCUGCGAAGCAGCCAUUUUCACUUCCACGGAGCAGAUGCUGGCCUGGGUGCUGGAAUAUGGAAAUGAGGAAGAUCCUGCCUGAGGAUUUCAUGACAGUGCUGCGAUUACCGACGUGAGCCACUGUGCCCAGCCUCACUUUAAAAAAAAAAAAAGGUUAUGAAGCAUCUCAACACAAGACCUCCUUUGCUCAUCACAACCACCCAGUGAAGCAGGCAAGACAACAGAAACUCCCCACCUGUGAUAGAUGUGAGGCCUGAAGUCUCCCACAUACCCACGGCAGAUGCAACGCACAGCGGUGACCAAUGGUGAAGGAUCUAAAACCUGAAAAGAGGCCAAAUGAUUCCUCAAAACCACGCAAGUACGAAGUAGCAGAGCGGAUCUCAAAUCCAGGUUUUACCCUCCCGACUGUUAACUGCCAACUGUUAACUGUUAACUGCCCAAGGUUGCCCUGCUGAUGUCAUGCCUGACCAUAUGACUUGCUCCAGCCAAUGAAAUGUAAGCAGAAGUGACAUAUGCAGCAUGACCAGUGGAAGCUUCGAAGAGCUAUUGCCAAUUUCCACCCUCUCUCUGGAAACUGUCAUUAGGGUUAGGGAAACUGUCAUGAGAUCUGCAUAUUUUAGAUAGAGGCUGCUUGCCUUAUUUGGGCACCUAAUGAAAAAGACAUGGAGGCCAGGUGCGGUGGCUCAUGUCUGUAAUCCCAGCACUUUGGGAGGCCAAGGCGAGUGGAUCACCUGAGGUCAGGAGUUCGAGACCAGCCUGACCAACAUGGCAAAACCCCGUCUGUACUAAAAGUGCAAACACAAAGGGAACUGCGUGGCUUGUUUCUACCUGAACAUUGUCAAGUGAUUUCAUCCUUUGAAACACAGUUGUGAAGUGUGUCCAGCAGUCUGAGAACAAGAAGAAGAAGAAAAUCUAAUCCUUCAGGGUGUCUGUGUGCCAGCCCUGCUCUCAGCACUUCCCAUGUGGAACUCCUUUACUUCUCCUAACAACUCCAUGACAUGGGUUAGACUGUGAUUGUUCCCAUAUUGUUGGUAGGGAAACUGAGGCAUGCAGGUGUUACAGAGCUCUCUCAAGUGGCAAGCUUUCUGGGUGGUUACAGAGUGGCAGAGCUGGGGUAUCCCAUGAUGUCACCACACUGCUAUAUGGAAAAGAACAUUAAUCGAGCACCUACGUGCUUGAUUCUCUUAAUUCUGUGACUGAACUCUCAAAACACCCUGGGUUGGUUUCCUUUUUACAACUGCCCAAGUCAUGAGUUCAUAGGGCCUGGAUGGCUGUACCGGAUUGCUCUCCAGCUGGUCUCUCUGCAUCCAGAAAUUUCUACAACCUACUGGGGUAAAAUCUUUCUCAACCCUGCUUUUCAUCAUCACAUCUUAAAUAUCUCGAGUUGGUUCCCUAUUGCCAAAAAAAAUCCAUUGUCCAUGUAGGGUUCUUCUGCCGAAACGAGGAAAGAGUGAGUUAAAUGUUGGUAGGUGAUAUAGAGAUAGUAAUUAGGCAAUAUAAUUCGAUGUUGUUGAAAGAGCUGAGCUAUGAAAUGCAUUGUGAUAAAGGGGCUGCCUGUGUAAGUAAAUGGGUAUAAUGAGGUGUAAAACUCCCUUUCUCUCUCUCUUUCUGCUUCAUAAGCCUUUCUGCUUCUCAAGUCCAGACCUGCUGUUUUUGGGGUUUCCUUCCAAUUUUUUUGCUGCUUCCCUGGGGCCUUGGCUCUUGGGCCUGCUGCCUCUUCCCACUCUACACCUUUGGAUUCCUUAUCUUUGGCUCCACCUUAUUGCUCCAUUCUCCAAAGACAAAUCCACAAGGCAUAGGAUUUUACAGAAUAUGGGGUUACAGAAACAGCAUAGGGAAGUGUAAAAGCCUAGAAGCUUCUUACAGACGCAGCCCCUUGUCUGUAGCUCCUGACUCCCACUUAAAUGUCUGUUGGAAGCACCCUGGGGUAGCAGAACCCAGCUCAGAAGAUGGGGCUUAUCCACCAUGCCUUUUCCUAACCUGACACCCACCCAGAUAAUCUUUUCAAUAUGCAAACUAGAGCGUAUCACCCCCUGCUCAGAGCCUUUCUGUGACCUCCCAUUUUGCUUCCCAGGACUCCUUGCUCCUUAGCCAGGUCUCCAGGUCCUCCGUGAUCAGGUCUCUGCUCUUCUGCAGCCUCAUCUCUGCCAUUCUUCACCUUUUGUGCUCCAACCCAAUCUGGUUUUCUUCUCAUGCUUUGAACACCCCAAGUCUGUCUGCUUCAGGAGCUUCGUACUGGCUAAUCAUUCACCACAGCAUACUCCCAUCUAUACGGCUGGCUCUUAUAUUAUGGGUCUCAGCUAAAAUGUCAUCCCUUCAAAGAGACCUUCUUGGACCACCCCCGCCAUUCUCUAUCCUAUUUCUCUCUUUUAUUUUCUUUGAAGCACUUACCCACUUUCAGAAACUAUCUGGCUUGCUCAUGUGUUUGUCUCUAGAUUGUCUACUUCCCCUCCUAGACUGUACUCUCCACAAGAGAGCAAAGCUGUGUCUGUUGCAUUCACUGUUGUCUUCCCAGAAGCAAGCAGCAUGCUGGAGACCCUCAAAUACAUGUGAAAUGAAGGGACACCUUGUGUUAUUUCACCUGUUUCCACCUGGUUCCCAAGUGGCAAGCUUGCAUUGAGGUUACAAAGUGGCAAAGCUGGGAUAUCACAUGAUGUCACCAUGAUGCUAUAUGAAAUGUAACAUUAAUUGAGUACCUAUGUGACCAGUUCUUUAAUUCUGUAAGUGAACUCUCAAAAAACCCUAGGUAAGUAUUAUCAACUCGAACUUUAACGGAUGAGGAAACUGGAAUUUUUUAAAAAAUGACUUAACCAAACAUCACAGAGCUGUAAACCAGGAUUUGAAUGGGUGAGCUGCACUCAGCCUUCAUCUCAAGUCAGUUUGCCUCUUUCUCCAAGAAGCCACAGUUGAUCCUGACCACAUCACAUAUGAGUUGCCUGGAUUGCAGUCAUUCAUUCACUAAGCAUCUUUUAGGAGGUCACAUGCCAGGCACCGUGUUAGGUAAUGAUUUCUCCAAGUCACAGGAGCCGUGGUUCUGACUUUAGAAAGUUUCUCAUCUGAUGGGAGGGCAGGCAAGUAAAUCAGUAAGGGUGGUCCCUGUCGGGACACUGGUUGAGAAAUACCCAGGAACACUCUGAUUGAGAAAUACCCAAAGUGCAAAGUGACAGGGACUAGAGGCAUCUCCACUGGACCAGAGAGCUCUGGAUUCGUCUUGAGCUAAGUCUCUGGAGGUAGGUGUCAGCUACAAGGAGAAAAGCUGUAUAUUUUGAGAUAUGGGAUGCAGGGCCUUUUAGUUCCAUAAAUAAGAGAACUAUGGUGUGAAUACCACAUGCCCUGGGCUGAACUAAGUGGGCUCUAGGGGAAGGUAUACUGGGCAGGGAGUUUGGAGAACUGGUUUCUGUCUAAUCCUUCUCUAACUCUGUGACCUUGAAUGCAUCAUUUCCCCUCUGAGUCUCAGAUUCUCUUUCUGGCUGGCAUUUAAUGAAACCUAAAUAUUCUAGACCUUCUACUUGUUCCAUAAGUGCUCAGUCCUACACUCACUCUCCUCUGGCACCAAUAUACUGAUUACUCAUUUUAUGCCCAGCAGAGCACUGCGUGUUUUGAAAUAUACAAAUAGUGGGAAACGAAAUCUUUGUUCUGGAUGCAGUUAUAAUUUGGAAAGCGAGGAAAUAAAUUAUAACAAGGGGAAAAAACAGACACAGAGGGAUUGAAAUGCAUAACAAUAGAGAUGAAACACGAAGAGUGAUAAAUGAAGAUUGAGUGUGCACACCUUCUGGAGGAGCCCUGAUUGAGUAUUUUAAAAUACUACUAAAGUCAUGCCGUGUGACUUCUGAAGCUAGCUCCUAAGAAGUCCUUGCAGCUUCUGCCUGCGACUCUUAGAACACUUGCUUUGAAGGAUGCCAGAUGCUGUCUUAAAAGUCUGAGCACUCUGAAACCAUCAUGCUGUGAGGAAGCCCAAGCUAACCACAUGGGCAAAAAAGAUGCCCUCUGACUGCCACCAUUUGAGACACUCUAAUUAAGAACUGCCUCAUUGAGCCCAUGAGGCCCUGUGAAUGAUAAUAAUAAAUUGUUUUUAACCACUAUGUUUUUGGAUUUGUUAUAAGUUUAUAGAUAACAAGAAAAAGUUAUAUUAGCAUGGUAAUAAAAUUAUGGAUAUGUGUAAGUUUGGUGUUUUGUUUCUUUUUUUUUUUUACACUAAGCCUAUAUUACUGUUGUAAUUUAGGAAAUCACUUGUUUUCCUCCAGCACUUCAAUGUAAGAGUGGCACUACUUAGAAUGUACUUCUUAAGAUAUGGCU